CCCUUAGAUGUCCUGGGCUGCACGCGCGCUACACUGAUGUGUCCAGUAAGCACCUAACCUCUUCCGAAAGGAACGGGUAACCUUUGCAAAGCACAUCGUGAUGGGGAUAGAUUAUUGCAAUUAUUAGUCUUGAACGAGGAAUUCCUAGUAAGCACAAGUCAUCAGCUUGUGUUGAUUACGUCCUUGCCCUUUGUACACACCGCCCGUCGCUCCUACCGAUUGAAUGUUCCGGUGAGCUCUUCGGACUGCGCGGUCUGCAGUUUCUGCGUUCCGUGCGGAAAGUUGCGCAAACCUUAACAUUUAGAGGAAGGAGAAGUCGUAACA
This 324-nucleotide ribosomal RNA is filed under the name uncultured eukaryote. RNAcentral's name for it is "partial 18S ribosomal RNA". It matches the Rfam family "Eukaryotic small subunit ribosomal RNA", at positions 1470 to 1796 of the family's 1831-position model. The record is from RNAcentral.